Molecule: ribosomal RNA, 253 nt
Filed under: uncultured bacterium
Lineage: Bacteria
Description: partial 16S ribosomal RNA
Rfam family: Bacterial small subunit ribosomal RNA
Source: RNAcentral
UACGUAGGGUGCGAGCGUUAAUCGGAAUUACUGGGCGUAAAGCGUGCGCAGGCGGUUUUGUAAGCCAGAUGUGAAAUCCCCGGGCUCAACCUGGGAAUGGCAUUUGGGACUGCAAGGCUUGAGUGCGGCAGAGGAGACUGGAAUUCCUGGUGUAGCAGCGAAAUGCGUAGAUAUCAGGAGGAAUACCGAUGGCGAAGGCAGGUCUCUGGGCUGACACUGACGCUCAUGCACGAAAGCGUGGGGAGCAAACAGG